UAGGGAAUAUUGGGCAAUGGGCGCAAGCCUGACCCAGCAACGCCGCGUGAGGGAAGAAGGUUUUCGGAUUGUAAACCUCUGUCCUAUGUGACGAAGGAAGUGACGGUAGCAUAGGAGGAAGCCCCGGCUAACUACGUGCCAGCAGCCGCGGUAAUACGUAGGGGGCGAGCGUUGUCCGGAAUUACUGGGCGUAAAGGGUGCGUAGGCGGUUUGGUAAGUUGGAUGUGAAAUACCCGGGCUUAACUUGGGGGCUGCAUCCAAUACUGUCGGACUUGAGUGCAGGAGAGGAAAGCGGAAUUCCUAGUGUAGCGGUGAAAUGCGUAGAUAUUAGGAGGAACACCGGUGGCGAAGGCGGCUUUCUGGACUGUAACUGACGCUGAGGCACGAAAGCGUGGGGAGC
Molecule: ribosomal RNA, 400 nt
Filed under: uncultured bacterium
Lineage: Bacteria
Description: bacterial SSU rRNA
Rfam family: Bacterial small subunit ribosomal RNA
Source: RNAcentral